CCUACGGGGAGCUGCAGUGGGGAAUAUUGGACAAUGGGCGAAAGCCUGAUCCAGCCAUGCCGCGUGUGUGAAGAAGGCCUUCGGGUUGUAAAGCACUUUCAGUGGGGAAGAAAGCCUUGGGGCUAAUACCCUCGAGGAAGGACAUCACCCACAGAAGAAGCACCGGCUAACUCCGUGCCAGCAGCCGCGGUAAUACGGAGGGUGCGAGCGUUAAUCGGAAUUACUGGGCGUAAAGCGCGCGUAGGCGGUCUGAUAAGCCGGUUGUGAAAGCCCCGGGCUCAACCUGGGAACGGCAUCCGGAACUGUCAGGCUAGAGUGCAGGAGAGGAAGGUAGAAUUCCCGGUGUAGCGGUGAAAUGCGUAGAGAUCUGGAGGAAUACCAGUGGCGAAGGCGGCCUUCUGGACUGACACUGACGCUGAGGUGCGAAAGCGUGGGUAGCAAACAGGAUUAGAUACCCGAGUAGUC
This 465-nucleotide ribosomal RNA is filed under the name Vreelandella stevensii. RNAcentral's name for it is "partial 16S ribosomal RNA". It matches the Rfam family "Bacterial small subunit ribosomal RNA", at positions 338 to 795 of the family's 1533-position model. The record is from RNAcentral. Lineage: Bacteria; Pseudomonadati; Pseudomonadota; Gammaproteobacteria; Oceanospirillales; Halomonadaceae.